This is a long non-coding RNA of Rana temporaria (common frog), 230 nucleotides long. RefSeq lists it as uncharacterized. NCBI's taxonomy places the organism in Eukaryota, Metazoa, Chordata, Amphibia, Anura, Ranidae. The record is from RefSeq and is a predicted model, not a curated record. The transcript is spliced from 3 exons.
GAUUCCACACAGGAAGGUCACACCAUCCCUCACUGUUACAAGGGUAAAGAUCUGAUAGAUAUGGAAUUUGAGGCUAAAGCAGAAGAAGAAGAAGAAGAGAGGUAUGUGAGUGAUGAUCAGCAGUCUAUGGAGGAGGAUGGAAUAAUAAGGCUAAUUAUAGAGGACGGCACUUCUACAGAGAUCAGCACAGUAGAUGGACGGGAGAUGAGGAAAACCUCAGAGGAUUGUCU